This 253-nucleotide ribosomal RNA is filed under the name uncultured bacterium. RNAcentral describes it as "partial 16S ribosomal RNA". It matches the Rfam family "Bacterial small subunit ribosomal RNA", at positions 525 to 777 of the family's 1533-position model. The record is from RNAcentral.
ACGUAGGGUGCGAGCGUUAAUCGGAAUUACUGGGCGUAAAGCGUGCGCAGGCGGUUUUGUAAGUCAGAUGUGAAAUCCCCGGGCUCAACCUGGGAACUGCGUUUGAAACUACAAGGCUAGAGUGUAGAAGAGGGGGGUAGAAUUCCACGUGUAGCAGUGAAAUGCGUAGAGAUGUGGAGGAAUACCGAUGGCGAAGGCAGCCCCCUGGGCUAACACUGACGCUCAUGCACGAAAGCGUGGGGAGCAAACAGGA